UAGGGAAUCUUCCACAAUGGGCGAAAGCCUGAUGGAGCAACACCGCGUGAGUGAAGAAGGGUUUCGGCUCGUAAAGCUCUGUUGUUAAAGAAGAACACGUAUGAGAGUAACUGUUCAUACGUUGACGGUAUUUAACCAGAAAGUCACGGCUAACUACGUGCCAG
Molecule: ribosomal RNA, 164 nt
Filed under: uncultured bacterium
Lineage: Bacteria
Description: partial 16S ribosomal RNA
Rfam family: Bacterial small subunit ribosomal RNA
Source: RNAcentral